GCGGGUGGGUUAUUAGGAAUUGCCGGCGGGUGCAGGUGAAAAAAAGCUAAUCCGCGCACCACAUCAGUUAAGGUAUUGGAAGAGGACGGAUGGCACGAGCCUGGAAAAGAGGUUUGUCCGAGCAGCGGGAGUCAGGAUCGGUGUAAGCGCGUGGUAUAUUCUGUUUAUUUUCGAGAGCAAUUAAAUCAUUUGUUUUUAUGGAAUUGCAUCCGAGUUUCAUUCGAGGCCAGCUCCCUCCUAAUUUGCGCCUUACAACCACCCACCUAUAUGGAUGUGUGCGCUGUCAUUAGGAAGCCUAACUGCCCGUGCAAUAAUUUGAUCUAACUAUGGCUAGGCUACAGCCGAAUUUAUGCCACUACACCUGUCAAUACAGUGUGUAACCCAACCAUUUUUGUAGGAGUUGGUAGUCUUUUCGAAAACAGCCUGUGUGAUUGAUGCCACCGAAGAGAAGAGGACAGGGGAGGAUGUUGCCGUGGAGACGUAGGUGUUGCUAGGGGCGAUAUCGUCAUUCCCUUGUUCAUCAUUUUUCCCAAGUCAAUUUCUCAUUUGACCAGGGCAACACCACCUGUACUCUUGACCAAAUAAAUAAUAGGAUUCAAUUUACUUAAAUGAUGACAGAUUAGACCUAUAAUUAGCCUACAAAUUGGUCUGACAGUUUAAUAUGAAUAUGUACCAUUGAUGUCACUUGUCACAAUGUGUCAUAAGCAAAUGAAUGUAUAUUUAUUGUAAAACUAAACUGAAGCAAUAUGGUGCAUGACAUUUACUGUUUUAAUGAAAAAUAGUCAUAAUCUCAAAACAUACAAUUUGGUACAAUUUCAACAACAUUUUGCUUGAUAAUACAUGCUCUUAAUUUUCCUCUUAUAGUCUUCUUCUAUUUGCCCCAGAACAUUUGUACUCUAUUUGGAAUCCAAUUUUAACAAGGCACCUAUCACAAGUUCUAAUAUAGGGCAUGCAAUCCCUCUCCCUGUCUCCGUCUCUCUUGCUUGAAGUUUGACCAGCUGCACUCUAUGACAAACAGCUAUACAGCAUGGCUCUGAUGUCAAUAAGCUAUACAUUUAAUUCAGCACUGUAGCUAACCGACAGGAUUCGACGUCAGACACGUUCUCCAUUUCUUCUACACCUAACUCUAUUAGUAGGAUUACCACAACAGAGCAGAGUGUCUUGUCUCUGGAGACAGAAGGGGCAAUUUCAUGCUUUGGCAGCUAGAAAUGCAUACAGUGAGCCAUCUCAUCUCUUGCACCUUUGACCUCCAACUAUCCGGACUGUCCACCUGGAGAAGUCCCAGACUUCAGGACCCAGUCAGUCGAAUCUGCAGCUGCUCCAUUGAUUGCAAUGGUACAUGGAUGAGUGGACGGAGUCUUCGUUAGUGAAAACCUACGCUAUUGGUUGUACCGGGACUGGAAGCACGGUCACUCUGCCCUGCUGAAAAUGGACAAAAGGAGAAUGAUAAGAAAACUACAAAUAUUAGAAACACCUUCCUGAACUGUUUCUUGAACUGUUCUUGAAACCGGUGAAAACCCCCAGAAACAACCAAGAAAUAGUGGAACCAUAAUACUCACUGUGAGGCAUAGGUCAUAUGUGUCGUUACCAAAACCUCCAUGAGCUGAAGGAGCAGCUGAUCGGUCCACAGCCCUGCCAGUCAUUGCCUUUGUUUUGUCCUGGAUGUGCAGGUAGUAGUACAGCAAGUCUCCCAGAGAGGCCAGCAGCAGCACUAACAUGAUGAUGGAAGCUGCAAUACCCCCUGUGUUGUCUCACAGUACUGACAUUGCAAUUUAUAACCCUGGCCACAUCUGCAGUCCUCAUGUCUCCUUGCAGCAUGCCUAAGGCACGUUCACGCAGAUGAGCAGGGACCCUUGGCAUCUUUCUUUUGGUGUUAUUCAGAGUCCGUAGAAAGGCCUCUUUAGUGUCCUAAGUUUUCAUAACUGUGAACUUAAUUACCUACCGUCAGUAAGCUGUUAGUGUCUUAAUGACCGUUCCGCAGGUGCAUGUUCAUUAAUUGUUUAUGGUUCAUUGAGCAAGCAUGGGAAACUGUGUUUAAACCCUUUACAAUAAAGAUCUGUGAAGUUA
Long non-coding RNA from Salvelinus fontinalis (brook trout), 2067 nucleotides. RefSeq lists it as uncharacterized. The transcript is spliced from 2 exons. Lineage: Eukaryota; Metazoa; Chordata; Actinopteri; Salmoniformes; Salmonidae. The record is from RefSeq and is a predicted model, not a curated record.